Molecule: ribosomal RNA, 498 nt
Filed under: uncultured bacterium
Lineage: Bacteria
Description: bacterial SSU rRNA
Rfam family: Bacterial small subunit ribosomal RNA
Source: RNAcentral
UGGGGAAUCUUGGACAAUGGGGGGCAACCCUGAUCCAGCCAUGCCGCGUGAGUGAUGAAGGCCCUAGGGUCGUAAAGCUCUUUCGCCUGUGAAGAUAAUGACGGUAGCCGGAGAAGAAGCCCCGGCUAACUCCGUGCCAGCAGCCGCGGUAAUACGGAGGGGGUUAGCGUUGUUCGGAAUUACUGGGCGUAAAGCGCACGUAGGCGGACCAGAAAGUUGGGGGGUGAAAUCCCGGGGGCUCAACCCCGGAACUGCCUCCAAAACUAUUGGUCUAGAGUUCGAGAGAGGUGAGUGGAAUUCCAAGUGUAGAGGUGAAAUUCGUAGAUAUUUGGAGGAACACCAGUGGCGAAGGCGGCUCACUGGCUCGAUACUGACGCUGAGGUGCGAAAGUGUGGGGAGCAAACAGGAUUAGAUACCCUGGUAGUCCACACCGUAAAACGAUGAAUGCCAGUCGUCGGGGUAGCAUGCUAUUCGGUGACACACCUAACGGAUUAAGCA